GUGCCAGCCGCCGCGGUACUACCGGCAGCUCAAGUGAUGUCCCAUAUUAUUGGGCCUAAAGCGUCCGUAGCUGGCUGCGCAAGUCCGUCGGGAAAUCCACUCGCCCAACGAGUGGGCGUCCGACGGAAACUGCACAGCUUGGGACCGGAAGGCUCGAAGGGUACGUUCGGGGUAGGAGUGAAAUCCCGUAAUCCCGGACGGACUACCGAUGGCGAAAGCACUCUGAGAAGACGGCUUCGACAGUGAGGGACGAAAGCUAAGAUCGCGAACCGGAUUAGAUACCCCGGUAGUCC
RNAcentral lists this ribosomal RNA (293 nucleotides) under uncultured bacterium. RNAcentral's name for it is "partial 16S ribosomal RNA". It matches the Rfam family "Archaeal small subunit ribosomal RNA", at positions 455 to 747 of the family's 1478-position model. The record is from RNAcentral.